AAAUAAAACAAUAAAAGAGCAGAAUAAGAUCAUAUUUGAAAAAGACAUGUUUAUUUGUGCAGAAAAUUCCAUAAGAACAUAUGUCAUUAUGUUUGCCUUCCACUACACCCAGCACAUGCAGACACAAAAUCUACUUGCAUUUAGAAAGAAUUGGCCUUCAAUAAGUUAGGAAAAAAUUGCUAAAUGGAAUACUUCUUUAAUUGUUUUCAUAUGUUAUGAGUAGAAGAAUGAUUGACAGAAUGUCUAUGAAAUCUAUGUACUUUGAGAUAUUGGCAAGAGAAGCCCAUUUCCUGCUUAGUGACUUAGCCAACCACUAUUUUUUCCAUGUUAUAUUUUCCAGAGUGCUGCUAUUCAGCACAAAAAUUCAAGUUUGGAUUCAAUAUGUAUUUCGUGUGCAAUAGCGUUGUCCUAUUUUUUUAUUCAGGGAUGACAAUUCAAAUACUGUAACAGAAACUGAGAAAACUAAUAAGCCAAAUGUAGGCCAUAAAUCCUGAAUUUAAAAUAAUUUCUAUCUCAAGUACAUUGUCAUUAUGAGCACAAUAGAAAGGGAAAAAAGGAACCUGAAAUCAAG
This 571-nucleotide unclassified non-coding RNA is filed under the name Hevea brasiliensis (rubber tree). The record is from RNAcentral. Lineage: Eukaryota; Viridiplantae; Streptophyta; Magnoliopsida; Malpighiales; Euphorbiaceae.